GGAGAGGUGCGUGAGUGGCUGAAACGGGCAGUCUUGAAAACUGCUGUGGACAAUUUGUCCACCGGGGGUUCGAAUCCCUCCCUCUCCG
Molecule: transfer RNA, 88 nt
Filed under: bacterium
Lineage: Bacteria
Description: tRNA-Ser
Rfam family: tRNA
About the family: Transfer RNA (tRNA) molecules are approximately 80 nucleotides in length.
Source: RNAcentral